This 2013-nucleotide ribosomal RNA is filed under the name human metagenome. Its description in RNAcentral is "bacterial LSU rRNA". It matches the Rfam family "Bacterial large subunit ribosomal RNA", at positions 1 to 2004 of the family's 2925-position model. The record is from RNAcentral.
GAAGCUGAGUAAGGGCACACGGAGGAUGCCUAGGCGGCGGGAGCCGAAGAAGGACGUGCUAAGCUGCGAAAAGCCCGGAGGAGGUGCACAGGACCUGUGAUGCCGGGAUAUCCGAAUGGGAGAACCUGCAUACCUGGAGGGUAUGCGCGAGAGAGGUAAGCCGGCGAACUGAAACAUCUAAGUAGCCGGAGGAGAAGAAAGUAAAAACGAUUCCCUGAGUAGCGGCGAGCGAACGGGGAGGAGCCUAAACCGUAUAUGUGUUAAAGCUGGCGGCGUUGCAUAUACGGGGUAGAGGGAACAUACUGGACUGAUGCCAUAAGGUCGAGUUGGUCAUGAUGUAAGCGGAACGCGGCUGGAAAGCCGGACCGUAGGAGGUGAGAGUCCUGUAGAGCGUAAAGUCAUGACGGCUUGUAUGUAAUCCCGAGUAGCAUCGGACACGAGGAAUCCGGUGUGAAUCAGCGUGGACCAUAUCACGUAAGGCUAAAUACUUCCGCCGACCGAUAGAGGAGAGUACCGUGAGGGAAAGGUGAAAAGAACCCUGAGCAAGGGAGUGAAAUAGAAUUUGAAACCGUGUGCUUACAAGCGGUAGGAGCCCUUAGGGGUGACUGCGUGGAUUUUGGUUAAUCAUCCUGCGAGUUAUGAUGUGUGGCGAGGUUAAGUGUAAGCGGAGCCGAAGGGAAACCGAGUCUUAAUAGGGCGACGAGUCGCAUGUCAUAGACGCGAAACCUAGUGAUCUAGGCCUGUCCAGGCUGAAGCUGAGGUAAGACUCAGUGGAGGGCCGAACUCACCGCCGUUGAAAAGUUGGGAGAUGAGAUAGGUCUAGGGGUGAAAAGCCAAUCGAACUAGGAGAUAGCUCGUUCUCUCCGAAAUGCAUUUAGGUGCAGCCUUGGUUGAAGAUAUGCGGGGGUAGAGCACUGUAUGGCCUAGGGGGCGUAUAGCUUACCGAAGUCAAGCAAACUGCGAAUACCGUAUAUUGUUUACCAGGAGUGAGUCUACGGAUGACAAGGUCCGUGGACGAGAGGGGAACAGCCCGGACCGCCGGCUAAGGUCCCAAAUCAUGUCUAAGUGGGAAAGGAGGUGGAUAUUCACAGACAACCAGGAGGUUGGCUUAGAAGCAGCCAUACCUUGAAAGAGUGCGUAAUAGCUCACUGGUCGAGAGUAUCUGCGCCGAAGAUAUAACGGGGCUAAGACAUGAACCGAAGCCGCGGAAGCGUGGUAACACGUUUGGUAGGAGAGCGUUCUGUAGGCCGUAGAAGGUGUCCUGAAAGGGAUGCUGGAGGUAUCAGAAGUGAGAAUGCAGGAAUGAGUAGCGAGAAGGAGGGCGAGAAUCCCUCCGGCCGGAAGUCCAAGGUUUCCAGGGGAAGGUUUGUCCGCCCUGGGGGAGUCGGGACCUAAGCAUAAGCAGAGCUGCGAAGGCGAAUGGAAAACAGGUUAAUAUUCCUGUACCGCUGUGUACUGACUGAGAGAUGGAGUGACGCAGGAAGGUAUGCGGGAAGGCUGACGGAAUAGCCUUUCUAAGGGUGAAGCGUGGACAUAUAGGCAAAUCCGUAUGUUUAAACGUGAGGCCUGACGGGUAAGUGCCAUAGGGCAUAAGCCGCAGAUCCUACACUGCCGGGAAAAACUUCUAUUUAGGGAAGCAGCGCCCGUACUGUAAACCGACACAGGUGGACAGAGUGAGAAACUUAAGGCCGACAGGACAACUCUGGCUAAGGAACUCUGCAAAAUGGCCCCGUAACUUAGGGAGAAGGGGUGCCCGUGCUACCUGAAGGGGGAGACACCCGGAGGGGAAGCGGGCCGCAGUGAAGAGUCCCAAGCAACUGUUUACCAAAAACACAGGUCUAUGCUAAGCCGGAAGGCGACGUAUAUGGGCUGACACCUGCCCAGUGCCGGAAGGUUAAGAGGAGGAGUGAGAGCUCCGAAUUGAAGCCCCAGUGAACGGCGGCCGUAACUAUAACGGUCCUAAGGUAGCGAAAUUCCUUGUCGGGUAAGUUCCGACCUGCACGAAUGGUGUAA